RNAcentral lists this ribosomal RNA (744 nucleotides) under uncultured deep-sea bacterium. RNAcentral describes it as "bacterial SSU rRNA". It matches the Rfam family "Bacterial small subunit ribosomal RNA", at positions 69 to 786 of the family's 1533-position model. The record is from RNAcentral.
GGGCCCGGAGCUUGCUCUGGUGACCCGAGUGGCGGACGGGUGAGUAACACGUGACUAACCUACCUUCGGGAGGGGGACAACCUGGGGAAACCUGGGCUAAUACCGCAUAUCGUCCACGGGCCGCAUGACCUGUGGAUAAAAGGGAGCCUCUGCUUGCACGCUCCCACCCGAAGAGGGGGUCGCGGCGUAUCAGCUUGUUGGUGGGGUAACGGCCUACCAAGGCAACGACGCGUAGCGGGUCUGAGAGGACGACCCGUCACAUUGGGACUGAGAUACGGCUCAGACUCCUACGGGAGGCAGCAGUGGGGAAUAUUGCGCAAUGGCCGAAAGGUUGACGCAGCGACGCCGCGUGUGGGAGGACGCCCUUCGGGGUGUAAACCACUGUCAGGGGGGAAGAACUUCGCAGGUGUGAAUAGCGCUUGCGGUUGACGGUACCCCCAGAGGAAGCGCCGGCUAACUCCGUGCCAGCAGCCGCGGUAAGACGGAGGGCGCAAGCGUUGUUCGGAAUUACUGGGCGUAAAGGGCAGGUAGGUGGUCUGUUAAGUCUUCUGUGAAAAUCCGGGGCUCAACCCCGCGAAAUGCAGGUGAAACUGGCAGACUGGAGACCGGUAGAGGCUAGCGGAAUUCCUGGUGUGGCGGUGGAAUGCGUAGAUAUCAGGAAGAACACCUGUGGCGAAGGCGGCUAGCUGGGCCGGUUCUGACACUAAACUGCGAUAGCGUGGGGAGCAAACAGGAUUAGAUACC